Molecule: transfer RNA, 88 nt
Filed under: Pseudomonadota bacterium
Lineage: Bacteria; Pseudomonadati; Pseudomonadota
Also listed under: 3 other names
Description: Proteobacteria bacterium tRNA-Ser
Rfam family: tRNA
About the family: Transfer RNA (tRNA) molecules are approximately 80 nucleotides in length.
Source: RNAcentral
GGAGAGGUGUCCGAGAGGCCGAAGGAGCACGCCUGGAAAGUGUGUAUAGUGCAAGCUAUCGAGGGUUCGAAUCCCUCCCUCUCCGCCA